Molecule: long non-coding RNA, 11104 nt
Filed under: Setaria viridis
Lineage: Eukaryota; Viridiplantae; Streptophyta; Magnoliopsida; Poales; Poaceae
Description: long non-coding RNA (SVIR_LNC003935)
Source: RNAcentral
GGUAGGAAGGAAACUAGUGGUCUGAUCCUUGAACUAGAGGAGGUGAUAAACUAGGGGUCCUUAGACGCAAGCGCUGAAGGGUUCCCAAGUUUACACAUACACCCUCGAGUUGAAGAAAAAGAUCACAGCCAAGCCCUCGGGCGAGGCGGGUAAGGGUUGGCGGAACAGACAGGGUCGGACGAGACGGAACUGGGGUCGGGCGGAUAGGAGGGGUCGGGCGAGGCGGACUUAGGGUCGGCAACUCACCUUCUUCCUGAAAGGAAGGCUUGGGGUCGGGAAGAAGCGAACUUGGGCGGAAGGUCUAAAGCUUCGAGCAAGGCUAAGACCGGCAAUGCUCCGGCGGUGGCGCUGCUUCUUGCGGAUCACAAGAGAGCUCUACGCAGCACGGAGGAGCAAGCUGUUGGGUGACUUGGAGGAACUGAGAGAGAACUGAGAGAAGAACUUCUCAAGAACUGGGUGGGUGGCGCUAGGAGCUUGAGCAGGGAGCUAGAGAAGGCUAAAGGCAACAAAGGCGGAGGGAACUCCGGCGACGGGGGCAUUCCUUUUAUAGCUGCUGGAGCAGAGGAACGGAAACGUCACGGAGAGAGAGAAGGGGAGCGGCGCGAAGGCCGGGGAGAAGCAAUGGAGUGCUCUGCCGUGGCAGCGAUUGAGCAAGGAGGGCGGUGCUGCAGCACUCCGGGAGUGACGCCAGCGAUCAUUGCGCUCUGCCGUCAGGGCGGCGUAGGCGCGGGUAGACCGGUGGUUGGGAUUUGGUGGAAAGCGGGCGUCGUCGUGUGGAAGAGGUGAUAAAAGCGACCGGUUAAACGGCGCUAGGAUCGAGGGCGCACAGGUGAGAUGACAAGCGGACGCGGCGCGGGGGAGAGUGCGGAACAACAGAUUGUCGGGCGGCUUCUGACAGAGCGGGGAAAGGAACUGUCGCGGCCGCGGUCGGGGUUGGCGGUGGAGUAAUCGUCGUGUAGCGACGACCGAGCGGCGCAACUGUUGCUGAAAGGGACGGAAAAGACGGGCGACAUCGGGCUCUGGGGCCGGGAUCUGGUGGCGUGAUGAUGGGCGCGGGAGACGAGGUUCUGCAGGAAGGGGUGCAGAGGGCUUCCGCUGCCAUUGGGAAAAAGGGGCGCGGGAACCCACUCUGUUGCUUGCCAGAGACAAAACUGGGCGAUGGCGUCGGAGAAGACGAGCCACGCGGCAGGAAGACUCUGAGGCGGCCAUGCAACUCGAGUGCGGCUGGCGCAGGGGAUCUGGAAAAAGAUCUCGCGGGUCCACCGGGGGAUAGAUCAAACGGGUGAGGAAGAUCAGCAGGAUUCGACGGCGGGCUGAGCUCGCCGGGGUCGGAAGAGGAACGAAGCGGGAAGGGGUCGGAUCUCAGGGGUCGGGAUCGGCGGAAAAACUGGGCACUUAGGUGCGGUCAAACAAAACAGCUGACUAAGGUUAAGGGCUGAGAUCAAACCUAACUGGGAAAGGUUAGGGGUCGGUCGUUACAGCCUACCCCUCUUAAAAAAAAUCUCGUCCCGAGAUUCAAAGAUCAAGGGUGUGCUGCUCUUACCUCCUUGAUGGGAUAGAAAACCGGGGAAACGCUUGUUUAGAUAUUCGUCCGUUUCCCAUGUUGCUUCAUCUUCGGUGUGGUUUCUCCAGAGGAUCUUGUACAUCUUUACCACUUGGCGUCGGGUGUGCCUUUCCUUUUGGUCAAGAACUCGAUCUGGGUACUCGGCGUAGGUCAGGUCAGGCUCUACCUGAAGCUGUUCUUUUUCUAAGGUCUCUGCUGGAACUCAGACACAUUUCUUCAGUUGAGACACAUGGAAAACAUCAUGUAUGGCUGAUAGCUGUUCUGGGAGUUGGAUCCGGUAAGCAACGGGUCCACAUCUCUCCAAAAUCUCAUAAGGGCCAACAUAGCGGGGAGCUAGCUUGCCUUUUAUUCCAAACCGUUGCACUCCUUUGGUUGGGGAGACUCGAAGGUACACAUGAUCACCAAGGUCGAACUGCAGGGGUCUCCUCCGCUGGUCGGAGUAACUCUUCUGUCGAGAUUGGGCAGCCUUGAGAUUUGCCUGAAUUACCUUCACUUGCUCUUCGGCUUCUGCCACUAAGUCAGGGCCAUAAACCUGUCUCUCUCCUGGUUGGGACCAGUUCAAGGGUGUCCUGCAUCUCCGGCCGUACAGGGCCUCAAACGGUGCCAUCUUCAAACUGGCCUGAUAGCUGUUAUUGUAGGAGAACUCUGCUAAGGGCAGGCACUUGUCCCAGCUUUUAUCGUAGUGGAUAACACAAGCUCUCAACAUGUCUUCGAGGAUUUGGUUGACUCUCUCGGUUUGGCCAUCGGUUUGGGGAUGAUACAUUGAGCUUCGGAUGAGCUUGGUGCCCAUGGAUGUUUGUAAUUGCUCCCAAAAACGGGCUACAAACUGAACUCCUCGAUCAGAGAUGAUGGUUCUGGGUACACCAUGUAGGGAAACGAUACGGUCGAGGUACAACUCUGCAUAUCGCUUGACUGUGUAGGUGGUACGAACAGGAAAGAAAUGUGCUGUCUUGGUCAGACGGUCCACUAUAACCCAGAUGGAAUCAUACCGUUGAGUUGUAAGGGGUAACCCAACUAUGAAGUCCAUGCUGAUGUCUUCCCAUUUCCAAGAGGGAAUAGGUAGCGGCUGCAAGGUUCCUGCUACCUUCAAGUGACUGGCCUUGACACGUUGGCAGGUGUCACAUUCUGAAACAUAACGAGCUAUCUCUGGUUUCAUUCCACUCCACCAAAAGGUCUGACGGAGAUCAUGGUACAUCUUGUUGCUGCCAGGGUGGAUUGAGAACUUGGAAAGAUGAGCUUCAUCUAGGAGCUGCUUCCUCAACUCGGGGUCGGCGGGCACUACUAGUCGGUUUCCAUAAUACACACCUCCCGUUUGGUCCUGACGGAAAUGCUUAUAUCCUUCAUCCUUUACUGAGAUCUUACUGAGGACUCGUUUUAUUUCUUCAUCCUUAGCUUGUGCUGACCGAACUCGGUUCUCCAAAACUGAGUCAAGGAUGAUGUGAUCAAGGGUUCCAUGGGGAACAAUCUCCAAACUUAGUUUUCCCAUCUCGUGACACAGAGUGUUGGUGAAGGCUGUUGACAACAAGCAGUUGCAAUGGGGUUUGCGACUGAGGGCAUCGGCUACCACAUUGGCCUUGCCAGGGUGAUAGUGCACUUUCAACUCAUAGUCCUUUAUCAACUCCAGCCAUCUUCUCUGACGCAUGUUGAGGUCGGCUUGAGUGAAGAUGUACUUGAGGCUCUUGUGGUCGGUGUAGAUGUUGCAGUGAGCUCCCAUUAAGUAGUGCCUCCAUAUCUUCAAGGCAUGUAUCACUGCUGCCAACUCAAGGUCAUGGGUCGGGUAGUUUAGCUCAUGAGGUCGUAACGCACGUGAGGCAUAGGCAAUGACUCGGCUGUCUUGCAUAAGAACACAUCCGAGUCCAGUGCCAGAGGCGUCACAGUAUAUGUUAUACGGCCUAGAGGGGUCGGGUUGAGCCAAAACUGGGGCGGUGGUCAGCAAGUGCUUCAGGGUCUUGAAGGCCUCUUCACACUUGGUGUCCCACACAAACUUGACCUCUUUCUUCAGCAACUCGGUCAUCGGCUUAGCUAUCUUGGAGAAAUCCAGUAUGAAACACCGAUAGUAACCUGCAAGUCCAAGGAAACUCCGGAUCUGGUGUACCGAGGCAGGAGACUUCCAUUCCAUGACUUCUUGCACCUUACUGGGAUCCACGGCAAUACCGUCCUUGGAGAUAGUGUGCCCCAAAAACUUGACACUAUCUAACCAAAACUCACACUUGGAGAAUUUUGCAUAAAGCUGGUGAUCUCUCAGCCGUUGGAGAACUAUAUGAAGAUGGUUGGCAUGCUCCUCCUCAUUCUUCGAGUACACUAGGAUAUCAUCAAUGAACACCACUACAAACUUGUCCAGCUCGGGCAUAAACACCGAGUUCAUAAGGUACAUGAAGUAAGCGGGUGCAUUGGUGAGUCCAAAGGACAUGACUAGGUACUCAUACAGUCCGUAUCUGGUAGAGAAAGCUGUCUUGGGGAUGUCGCAAGGUCGAAUCUUGAUUUGGUGAUAACCAGAACGAAGAUCGAUCUUGGAGAACACUUUCGCUCCGGCUAACUGAUCGAACAAGACAUCAAUGCGUGGCAGUGGGUACUUGUUCUUGACUGUUACCGCAUUGAGGGGUCGGUAAUCCACACACAUCCGUAAACUGCCGUCCUUCUUCUUCACAAACAGGGCGGGGCAACCCCAAGAUGAUGUACUGGGUCGAAUGAAGCCCUUUUCCAACAGAUCAUGCAACUGGGUCUUCAACACGGCUAACUCCGCGGGUGGCAUCCGAUAGGGUCUCUUAGAUAUCGGGGCUGUGCCAGGAACCAACUCUAUGGAAAACUCAACUUCUCUAUCAGGUGGCAUACCCGGAAAAUCUUCUGGAAACACAUCUGGGUACUUACAGAUAACAGGGAGGUCUUCUAGACGGACUCCCAAGAGAGGGUACGCACAAGGAGUCGAAGACUCAGGAUGGGUCAAGGAUAGGGUAGAACUGCCAUGAGAGGGUGAGCUGAUGUAAAGAGAUCGGGCUGAUGUAUCUAAAACAACAUGAUGUCGGGCCAUCCAAUCCAUUCCAAGGAUGACAUCCAGGCCCUCUAGGUUAAGGAUGAUAAGGUUUUCCUUGAAGAGGGUGGGGCCUAGCUGGAGAGGUACAAGAAUAACGACAUGAUCCGACGUUAUCCUCCCUCCAGGAGUGGCGAUCACAUAGGGUUCCUUAGUGUGACCGACACUUAGCCCACAUCUUUCCCUUGCCUUACUCCCGAUAAAGCUAUGAGAGGCUCCCGAAUCAAACAACACAACAACAGCUUGAUUUAAAACAAGGAAAGUACCCUUCAUUACUGACGCACCUUCGGGAAGUUCGGUCAAGCUGGUGUAGUUGAGUCGGCCUUGUCGGACUUGCACCUUGGGCCUUCUUCCUCUGGCUGCCAUGGGGUUCUGGCCUUGCUGCUGAUUCUUGUUCCUGGGGCAGUCCUUUGCAAAAUGUCCCUCAUUGCCACAGGUAAAACAUCUGUUACUGGCUGCCGGGCGAGGUGGCGUUGGCAGGGUCGGCCGGGAUACUUGCGGUUGGAAGCUUGGAAACGAGGCGUUGUUGCCAGCGGGGGUCGGGCGAUCCAUUUCCCUGACUGUUGGGGUCGGCCAGGGGCUUGUGGAGGGAUCAUCCGGAACCUUCGGGUUGGCGGACUCGGAAAUGCCACAGAGGCUUUCCUCUUCUGGUCGGCCUUGAGAGCUUGCAUGCAGUCCUCCUGAGAGAUUGCCAGGUUGACCAACUCGUUAUAGGUGUCCACCCUGAUGGGGUUCAGCCUUUCCCUGAGCUCCAAGCUCAGUCCUCGGCGGAAUCUGUCCCGCUUCUUCUCAUCGGUGUCCGCAUGAUAGCCAGCAUAACGGCAUAGGUCAUUGAACGCCUGGGCGUAGUGCAGCACAUCCUGAGUUCCUUGGGUGAGGGCUAGAAACUCGUUGAGCUUGCGCUCCAGGAGACCUUUGGGAAUGUGAUGCGCCUUAAACGCCGUCUUGAACUCGUUCCAACUGACCACGUGACCAGCAGGUAGCAUGGCAUGGUAGUGGUCCCACCAAAGCCGUGCGGAACCACGCAGCUGCUGAGCUGCGAACCGCGCCUUGUUGUUGUCGGGGCAUGGAGCGGUGAGGAGCUCGAACUUGGAUUCGAUCGUACGAACCCAUGCAUCAGCGUCGAGCGGUUCUUGUGUCUUUUGGAACAGCGGGGGCUGCGUCCCCAGAAAGUCCUCGUACCGCGCGAUAUGCGGCUGCUGCUGUGCUCUACCACCAUGUGGCUGCUGUUGUCCUUGCACCAGAUGCCUGAGCAGCUCGGUUUGAGUUGCUAAGAUUGCCUCCAAUGGCGAUGGUGGCGGGGGCGGGGGAAGAUCCUGUCGCUGGUCACUACCACUGGGCACAGAUCCAGACCUGGUGCGGUGCGCCAUCUGCAAGAGUUAACGCCCCAUCAAUUUCAUAACCUCAGGUGUACUCCAACAAAUGGGAACGUAUGAAUUAAAUCCUUCAAUGCGACUCUUGCCAAUGGUGCAUCACACGUCCUCAUAGAGGAAGCACAUUCCUCCCAUUUUCAACAUAGAUAACCUCUACUUAUCCCGGUAUUCCACUUCAGGUACACAUGCCACAUACAGACUCCUAGAAUCUGAUCCACUCGAACCAAGGGGUCGGAUACGGUCCGUACUCGAAAAGGGUCGGACGAGGCGGUAACUGCCUCAAGGGCCGGCGCACUCUGGCUCGCAAAAAUAGGGUCGGCCAACUGAACAGGCUCCCCGAAAGCAGCAUAGGGUUACGGCACAACUUACUCCACCCUAGCAUCCACACCAUACGAAAAGGAUAAAACUAUGCACCGGUUGACUUUAUACACAACGAUGUUUCAACACAGGGAGUACUCAACUCAAGGCUAACCUAUUACAGCUUUCCAAAAACUAGGCUGCCGAGGAGUACAACAAAAGAAAGAAGGUUCCCUGAGAACCCUUAAGCUACCACUGGACACUGUGAGUCGGAGAAGGGGCGCCAUCUUCUUCUAUGUCCAUGCUGGACGCUCCCUCGUCUUCCUCAGGGUCCUCCUGAGCUUCGAGCUGCAUGUUAAGAGCAUGCAUAUCUUCAAGCUCAGCUUGGUGCUCCUCCAGGUGGGCAUAGGCGACGGCCAACUCCAUUUCCACCUCCAUCUUCUCCUCCGAGAGCUCUAUCAUGCCGUCCACGAGGUCGGCAACUUCUCCUUCUAGCUCGGAGAUCCGAUCUUGCAUAUCGUGGAUCUGGAUACCACGCUGGAUCAGCUGGUAGGUUUGGCCUACCAGGUCUCUUCUUGCUGCCUGGAGGUAACCGUGGGUAUCUGCAGCCGUCCGGGCAAAGAGAGUCAUGGCUCUUCCUUGGAGCUCUAUCAACCGGUAGAGAGCAGCCAUGCACCGGACGUUGGUGGAGAUGGUGACCAUAGCACAGGUAGUUGCCAACACCUCGAGGUUUCCGAUGCGGUCCAGCAAGGCCGGGUCCAGUCGACUCCUGACGGGAAAAAGACCGAUCGGGUCCAGCGUGAUCUCCACAGGGUGCAACUGACAGAACUGGGUGAGCAACUGAAGGGCGGCGGAUUCCCAUGUGUCUUCCGGAGAAAGACCAUAGGCUAUUAUGCCCAGAGAGGGCCAGUCGGGCCGUGCAAGGGGAGGUGGUACCAACGCUUACACCUGGCACGUCUGAAUGCCCUGUUCCAUAUACAACCGCCCAGCAUACAGGGGCGGGGACUGAUACCCAAACCACUUCAGCGUAUCCCACAGAAUCGCGGGAAACCCCUCGAAAUGCAGGCACGUUGAUUGGAAGGUACCGUCCGCUCCAAAAACCACAUGCCCGGGAACAGCCAUCUGGAACCAAGAAAACCGAAACCGCGUGAGAUAACUCCGAGGAUCAGGGGUCAGAUAGAGAAGCAGAAGGGCUUAACCGAGAGCAACUAAGAGAAACUAGAAAUCCUUAGAUCCAAAGAACUCUUUCGAACAGGGUUACUGUUGAGAAGAAAACAUUACAGAUUUUAGGUAUGACGCAUGCACGGCCUACCAUACUCUUAACCAAAAACAACUGCCCAGACUUUGGGUCUUACGCGGUCAGCGCCGGUGACAAGGCAACCAUACGUCUCUCCCUAUAUUAACUAGUCGGUUCUAGCAACGUCUUAACGAGCGCGGUUAGCAACCUGCAGAAAACACCGCACACGAACCUUUCGUGCCAGCACCCACGAAAGCGUUCCCAAACAUUACCGCUCACUAUAGGAACGGCACCCAUGCGUUUAAGGCUGCAUGGACAGCACUCAACCGUGGAAAUAGGUUCCUUCCGAAUAGAACCAUAUAACCCUUCGCAUACUCGUGAUGCGGCAUCGGCACACGUAUGACAAACGUGGCGAAACAACCGUGCCGAUAGGUUCAUUGGAAUCGAACCGUAUCAACCUUCGUAUGGAUCACAUACGAAACCUGCGCACGUAUAAUAGACGUGGGCGAAAACAACCGCGAAGAUAGGGUCCCUUGAAUGGACUCCCUAUCAACCCUCGCAUGCUCGCGAUGCGGAACUCGGCACACGUAUGAUAGACGUGGCGAAGUGCUGAUACUUAUUAGUCACCUAAAACAACCCCAAAAUCCCCUAGGGCCUCUCGCACUAAGUCAUCCUUAAUGAUCGUACGAGAUUUUCAAAAGGUUCUUGCAACUUUUACAUUUUCAAAGAAGUGUUUAGGGCUCAUUGGGUUCUCUGAUAUGCUAAACACGGCUCUGAUACCAGCUGUGGCGGAACCACCUCGGAUUAGCCUGAUUUAGCAGGGUUAAGCCGCCUAACAUACGACACUCCUGUCUAAACCGAACUAACACGAAGUGCCGUCGGAUUUCAUCCGAUUUAACCACUUAAAAAGGAUCGAGUCUAGCAAACCCACACGAAGGUGAGUGGUUACAGAGAAUACAACAAGUCCACUGAGUUAAGCAAGUCUUACUCAAUUAGUUCGGCCAUAAAAAAAAUUAACAUCAGAGUUUUACAGAGCUCAAAGAAAACGAUAGAGAAACACUAGCGGAAGACUUCGUCGGGGUCGGAUGUCUGGGCGAGGCCAACCAGAACAUUACUGAGUCCUCUCCUCGCCGUCCGAGGAGGGGUCCCACUCGACCGUCCAGCCUGGCGGGAGCUGGGGCGGCCAAGCACCAACCAGAGAGGGGUCGGACGCGGCAACUUCACCUGAAAACAGAAGCCACAAUAAGGCUGAGCUACUAAGCUCAACAAGACUUAACCGACAGGAGUAAGGACUACUCCUCCUUCUAGACAUGCAAGCUUUUUGGCUGAGGGGUUUGACUGCCAAAAGCACUAGUAACCUAAAUUCAAGUUUUAGCUCCGGUUCUAGGUUCAUUUACCAGUCUAGGUUGUGCAACCUAUUCUAAGCAAUCAUAGAGCCAAUCAAGAUGUAUAGAUAUAACAACAACAUUGCCAUCAUCAGAUUCCUCAUUUACUCAGGGUGACAUAGCGAUCAAGAAAUCUCAGACUGUGAGAGGCAGACGAAUCGAUUCGAGUUCUUUAACCAUGCAUGGUGAACCUAGCCUCACGACAUCCGCGCACCCGGAGGUCGCUUCCUGUGUCGGCCUUCCCCAUCAAUCCCCUAACCCGUGUCGGGCCCAUUUCCUUUGGUGCAAGGUUCCACAGACCCGGCCUCUGCCGUCCUGUGACCACGCUUGCCACCACGUGCGACAACCAGCAGGGGAAACUCCGUUCCAAGAACAAUGGGGCGACCGCUCACGUCUAGGUUCAAUCAGGUACUAGGCUUCCUCAUCCCAUGCUAAGUAUGAGGCUAGUACUUUCAAACACAUGAUCACGAACACCACCACUGUCGGGUCUUAGCAAGUUUUUAUAGACAGACGGGGCGACCAUCCGACCACCAAAAAGUUACCAAACCCUGCCCCGUCCAUCGUCCUUAUAGUUGUAACAGGAGAGUAAAUCAUGCAACUCCUACAACUCGCGAGUGACAGGAGAUCACUCGGCUUUUACCGUCUCCUAUUUAAGCAAUGCCACUACUCGGUCCAACAGCUAGUGCUCAUAUCAAAGGUUACCUAAGUCGUGCAUCUAGGGUUUCACACAACUCCUAUACGUAAAUGCACAAGCAUGCUAUACGGAAGGCAUGCGCAAGUUUGGUAAAACACAUAGGACUUUCAUGCAACCGGGGCAUGCCUUCAAGCAAGGAGGGCGGGAACUGCUCGACUUCUGGGGCGACUUCGGCUUCCGCGGGCAGGAACUCGGCUACAGCUUCUUCUUCUGGCGCCGGGUGCAACUCGUAGAAGCCGUCGGCGAGGUGCAGCUCUACACGAAUGCAAUGCAAGGGUUAGCUUAGACGGUUAUUUCAACAGCAACACUGGCUCGCCUGAGCCCAGAAACUUGCGACAAAGAGCAGGAGGUUAUGGUGGUUCGAGAGAGCUGAUGAUGAUUAAAAGGUAAGGGUAGGAAGGAAACUAGUGGUCUGAUCCUUGAACUAGAGGAGGUGAUAAACUAGGGGUCCUUAGACGCAAGCGCUGAAGGGUUCCCAAGUUUACACAUACACCCUCGAGUUGAAGAAAAAGAUCAUAGCCAAGCCCUCGGGCGAGGCGGGUAAGGGUCGGCGGAACAGACAGGGUCGGACGAGACGGAACUGGGGUCGGGCGGAUAGGAGGGGUCGGGCGAGGCGGACUUAGGGUCGGCAACUCACCUUCUUCCUGAAAGGAAGGCUUGGGGUCGGGAAGAAGCGAACUUGGGCGGAAGGUCUAAAGCUUCGAGCAAGGCUAAGACCGGCAAUGCUCCGGCGGCGGCGCUGCUUCUUGCGGAUCACAAGAGAGCUCUACGCAGCACGGAGGAGCAAGCUGCUGGGUGACUUGGAGGAACUGAGAGAGAACUGAGAGAAGAACUUCUCAAGAACUGGGUGGGUGGCACUAGGAGCUUGAGCAGGGAGCUAGAGAAGGCUAAAGGCAACAAAGGCGGAGGGAACUCCGGCGACGGGGGCAUUCCUUUUAUAGCUGCUGGAGCAGAGGAACGGAAACGUCGCGGAGAGAGAGAAGGGGAGCGGCGCGAAGGCCGGGGAGAAGCAAUGGAGUGCUCUGCCGUGGCGGCGAUUGAGCAAGGAGGGCGGUGCUGCAGCACUCCGGGAGUGACGCCAGCGAUCAUUGCGCUCUGCCGUCAGGGCGGCGUAGGCGCGGGUAGACCGGUGGUUGGGAUUUGGCGGAAAGCGAGCGUCGUCGUGUGGAAGAGGUGAUAGAAGCGACCGGUUAAAUGGCGCUAGGAUCGAGGGCGCACAGGUGAGAAGACAAGCGGACGCGGCGCGGGGGAGAGCGCGGAACAACAGAUUGUCGGGCGGCUUCUGACAGAGCGGGGAAAGGAACUGUCGCGGCCGCGGUCGGGGUUGGCGGUGGAGGAAUCGUCGUGUAGCGACGACCGGGCGGCGCAACUGUUGCUGAAAGGGACGGAAAAGACGGGCGACAUCGGGCUCUGGGGCCGGGAUCUGGUGGCGUGAUGAUGGGUGCGGGAGACGAGGUUCUGCAGGAAGGGGUGCAGAGGGCUUCCGCUGCCAUUGGGGAAAAGGGGCGCGGGAACCCACUCUGUUG